AAAGGGAGACCUAAUUCAGGUAGGAGACGAAAAAAAAGUAGUCGCUACCAAGAAUCAAUCCCAAAAGGUCGGAGCGAGGCGAAAUUGGCUUUCAAACUAGGUUCUGGGUUCAAACAAGACCUGAAUCAGGAACAAGGGCUAUUAGCUCAGGUGGUUAGAGCGCACCCCUGAUAAGGGUGAGGUCCCUGGUUCGAGUCCAGGAUGGCCCACCUGCACAGGUGGCAAAAACAAGAGAAGCUCCGAAUCAGCACCUUAUCUUACUGACAUAGUAAGAGAGAAUGCUGGCUCUGAGUAAAGAGUCCAGAGGAACCUUGAAAACUGCAUAGAGCUAGGUGAAAAAGCCAAAAAAGAAGACCGCAAG
This 361-nucleotide transfer RNA is filed under the name uncultured Microcystis sp. RNAcentral's name for it is "partial 16S-23S ribosomal RNA intergenic spacer". The stretch from base 136 to 209 matches the Rfam family "tRNA". Lineage: Bacteria; Bacillati; Cyanobacteriota; Cyanophyceae; Chroococcales; Microcystaceae. The record is from RNAcentral.